RNAcentral lists this ribosomal RNA (429 nucleotides) under uncultured Burkholderiaceae bacterium. RNAcentral describes it as "bacterial SSU rRNA". It matches the Rfam family "Bacterial small subunit ribosomal RNA", at positions 355 to 776 of the family's 1533-position model. The record is from RNAcentral. Lineage: Bacteria; Pseudomonadati; Pseudomonadota; Betaproteobacteria; Burkholderiales; Burkholderiaceae.
UGGGGAAUUUUGGACAAUGGGCGAAAGCCUGAUCCAGCAAUGCCGCGUGUGUGAAGAAGGCCUUCGGGUUGUAAAGCACUUUUGGCGAGAACGAAACAGCGCCUGCUAAUACCGGGCGCGAAUGACGGUACUCGCAGAAUAAGCACCGGCUAACUACGUGCCAGCAGCCGCGGUAAGACGUAGGGUGCAAGCGUUAAUCGGAAUUACUGGGCGUAAAGCGUGCGCAGGCGGUUUUGUAAGACAGAUGUGAAAUCCCCGGGCUCAACCUGGGAACUGCAUUUGUGACUGCAAGGCUAGAGUGCGUCAGAGGGAGGUGGAAUUCCGCGUGUAGCAGUGAAAUGCGUAGAGAUGCGGAGGAACACCGAUGGCGAAGGCAGCCUCCUGGGAUGACACUGACGCUCAUGCACGAAAGCGUGGGGAGCAAACAGG